This 799-nucleotide small RNA is filed under the name Pongo abelii (Sumatran orangutan). Its description in RNAcentral is "retained intron". Lineage: Eukaryota; Metazoa; Chordata; Mammalia; Primates; Hominidae. The record is from RNAcentral.
CUGGAUGUGAUGAAGGAGUUGAUAACUCUGGCAAAACGCCAUGAGUUCUUGAUAUUUGAAGACCGGAAGUUUGCAGAUAUAGGAAACACAGUGAAAAAGCAGUAUGAAGGAGGUGUCUUUAAAAUAGCUUCCUGGGCAGAUCUAGUAAAUGCUCACGUGGUGCCAGGCUCAGGAGUUGUGAAAGGCCUGCAAGAAGUGGGCCUGCCUUUGCAUCGGGGGUGCCUCCUUAUUGCGGAAAUGAGCUCCACCGGUUCCCUGGCCACUGGGGACUACACUAGAGCAGCGGUUAGAAUGGCUGAGGAGCACUCUGAAUUUGUUGUUGGUUUUAUUUCUGGCUCCCGAGUAAGCAUGAAACCAGAAUUUCUUCACUUGACUCCAGGAGUUCAGUUGGAAGCAGGAGGUAAAUCUGGUUACUGGUCGUGGCUCUUCCAAAAAUGCUUCUUUACCCACGGCAGGCAAAAUAAAACUUUGCAUGUUAUUAUACACUUGCUUAAGAAAAGCCUUCUUAGUCUAGAACAAUAAUGAAUGAGCCCUUUGGUAACUACGUAUCUUUGGACAAGUCAGUUUACUUCUUUUAGUCUCAUUGUCUGUAAAAUGGGGAUGAUAACAGUAUUGACCUCAUAAGGUAAUCAGGAGGCUUUAAUGAGAUAACAUGUAGAAUAUUUAACACAAUGUCUUGGCACAGAGUAAACACUCUGUACUUAUAAGCCCUUAUUCAUGAGCCCUAAUAAUUGUUUGACUAGAUACUAUAGUUAGGGUCUAGGCUUUUAAGAAUACUUAAAGUAUCUUGGAUUUGGAA